AACGCUGGCGGCGUGCCUAAUACAUGCAAGUCGAACGAGUUCUCGUUGAUGAUCGGUGCUUGCACCGAGAUUCAACAUGGAACGAGUGGCGGACGGGUGAGUAACACGUGGGUAACCUGCCCUUAAGUGGGGGAUAACAUUUGGAAACAGAUGCUAAUACCGCAUAGAUCCAAGAACCGCAUGGUUCUUGGCUGAAAGAUGGCGUAAGCUAUCGCUUUUGGAUGGACCCGCGGCGUAUUAGCUAGUUGGUGAGGUAAUGGCUCACCAAGGCGAUGAUACGUAGCCGAACUGAGAGGUUGAUCGGCCACAUUGGGACUGAGACACGGCCCAAACUCCUACGGGAGGCAGCAGUAGGGAAUCUUCCACAAUGGACGCAAGUCUGAUGGAGCAACGCCGCGUGAGUGAAGAAGGCUUUCGGGUCGUAAAACUCUGUUGUUGGAGAAGAAUGGUCGGCAGAGUAACUGUUGUCGGCGUAACGGUAUCCAACCAGAAAGCCACGGCUAACUA
Molecule: ribosomal RNA, 507 nt
Filed under: Lacticaseibacillus casei
Lineage: Bacteria; Bacillati; Bacillota; Bacilli; Lactobacillales; Lactobacillaceae
Description: bacterial SSU rRNA
Rfam family: Bacterial small subunit ribosomal RNA
Source: RNAcentral